This 483-nucleotide ribosomal RNA is filed under the name uncultured bacterium. Its description in RNAcentral is "partial 16S ribosomal RNA". It matches the Rfam family "Bacterial small subunit ribosomal RNA", at positions 30 to 507 of the family's 1533-position model. The record is from RNAcentral.
AUUGAACGCUGGCGGCAGGCCUAACACAUGCAAGUCGAGCGGAUGAAGGGAGCUUGCUCCUGGAUUCAGCGGCGGACGGGUGAGUAAUGCCUAGGAAUCUGCCUGGUAGUGGGGGAUAACGUCCGGAAACGGGCGCUAAUACCGCAUACGUCCUGAGGGAGAAAGUGGGGAUCUUCGGACCUCACGCUAUCAGAUGAGCCUAGGUCGGAUUAGCUAGUUGGUGGGGUAAAGGCCUACCAAGGCGACGAUCCGUAACUGGUCUGAGAGGAUGAUCAGUCACACUGGAACUGAGACACGGUCCAGACUCCUACGGGAGGCAGCAGUGGGGAAUAUUGGACAAUGGGCGAAAGCCUGAUCCAGCCAUGCCGCGUGUGUGAAGAAGGUCUUCGGAUUGUAAAGCACUUUAAGUUGGGAGGAAGGGCAGUAAGUUAAUACCUUGCUGUUUUGACGUUACUAACAGAAUAAGCACCGGCUAACUUCGUG